RNAcentral lists this ribosomal RNA (406 nucleotides) under uncultured beta proteobacterium. RNAcentral describes it as "bacterial SSU rRNA". It matches the Rfam family "Bacterial small subunit ribosomal RNA", at positions 9 to 417 of the family's 1533-position model. Lineage: Bacteria; Pseudomonadati; Pseudomonadota; Betaproteobacteria. The record is from RNAcentral.
GAGUUUGAUCUUGGCUCAGAUUGAACGCUGGCGGCAUGCUUUACACAUGCAAGUCGAGCGGCAGCGCGGGGCAACCUGGCGGCGAGCGGCGAACGGGUGAGGAAUACAUCGGAACGUGUCCCGUAGUGGGGGAUAGCCCGGCGAAAGCCGGAUUAAUACCGCAUAUGCUCUACGGAGGAAAGCCGGGGAUCCGCAAGGACCUGGCGCUAUGGGGGCGGCCGAUGUCCGAUUAGCUAGUUGGUGGGGUAAAGGCCUACCAAGGCGACGAUCGGUAGCUGGUCUGAGAGGAUGAUCAGCCACACUGGGACUGAGACACGGCCCAGACUCCUACGGGAGGCAGCAGUGGGGAAUUUUGGACAAUGGGGGCAACCCUGAUCCAGCCAUGCCGCGUGCGGGAAGAAGGCCU